Molecule: ribosomal RNA, 1359 nt
Filed under: Triticum aestivum (bread wheat)
Lineage: Eukaryota; Viridiplantae; Streptophyta; Magnoliopsida; Poales; Poaceae
Description: partial small subunit ribosomal RNA
Source: RNAcentral
AUGCUGUCUGUGAGCUCGCCGAGGGUGCACAUGAGCCGGAACGUCGUGGAUUUGGGCCUGCUGGCCGCCUGCCGCUGCCGCCGCUGGGCCGCGCGCCCGGCGCCCAGGCGGCGCGCGCCAUGUGUUUGUUUCGUGGCCGCACCCAGCCAGACAGGUUUGUGUGUCUCUCUUACUACCAUGCCUUACCUUAUCUCUGCUGGUUGGUUCAGAGACGUUCGGUACAACACACUAAGCAGCACACGUCCUGCCUGUAGUACCACCGUUGCUUGGAGUGAAGCUGACCUAUUAAAAUUCUUCUAUGUAGGUCUUGCGGCGAUCGACGUGCCGGCGGCAGAGACCAUUGCCAGCGCGGCGGCCGGGACGGCGAGGCUCCCCGAGCGCGUGUCCAUCGCUUCGCUCUUGGAUGUCGUCUCGGAUGACCUGCUCAAGCUCAACAACAACCUCAAAUCGCUUAUUGGUGCAGAAAACCCAGUUUUAGUAUCUGCCGCAGAACAAAUUUUUGGUGCUGGUGGAAAGAGAUUAAGACCAGCAUUGGUUUUCCUGGUGUCCAGAGCAACAGCAGAAGUAGCUGGCUUGUCGGAGCUAACUACAGAACAUAAACGUUUGGCUGAGAUCAUAGAAAUGAUUCACACUGCGAGUUUAAUACAUGAUGAUGUCAUAGAUGAUAGUGGGAUGCGCAGAGGGAAAGAAACCAUUCAUCAGCUAUAUGGAACACGGAUAGCGGUGCUUGCUGGUGAUUUUAUGUUUGCACAAUCUUCUUGGUUUCUGGCAAACUUGGAAAACAUUGAGGUUAUAAAGCUCAUCAGCCAGGUGAUCAAGGACUUUGCUAGUGGUGAGAUUAAACAGCAGUCGACCCUUUUCGACUGCGACGUCACCCUGGACGACUACCUGCUCAAGAGCUACUACAAGACUGCCUCCCUGCUCGCUUCAAGCACGAGGUCUGCGGCCAUAUUCAGCGGGGUGAGCACCGCCGUAUGCGAGCAGAUGUACGAGUACGGCAGGAACCUGGGGCUGUCGUUCCAGGUGGUGGACGACAUCCUCGACUUCACGCAGUCGGCGGAGCAGCUGGGCAAGCCGGCGGGGAGCGACCUGGCCAAGGGGAACCUGACGGCCCCGGUCAUCUUCGCGCUGCAGGAGUCGCCAGAGCUGAGGGAGAUCAUCGACUCGGAGUUCUGCGACACGGGCUCGCUGUCGGCGGCCAUGGAGCUGGUGCACAGGAGCGGCGGUAUCCGGCGGGCGCAGGAGCUGGCCAAGGAGAAGGGCGACCUGGCGCUCCAGAACCUGCAGUGCCUCCCCAGGAGCCAUUUCAGGACUGCACUUGAGAACAUGGUGAAGUACAACCUUGAGAGGAUCGACUAG